UAAAGUUCUAAAUAGUAGAAUGAUUAUGACANNNNNNACUUAUUUGUCUUGACCAAAUCACGUGCCAGCAGUCGCGGCAAGACGUGAAAGACUAGUGUUAUUCAUCUUUACUAGGUUUAAAGGGUACCUAGACGGCAUUUAUUGCCCAUAAAUAUUUGCUAGAGUUUUAUGAAGGUAAGUAUUUAAAGUGUAGAGAUGUAAUUCUAUAAUACUUUAAAGACUGAUAACGGUGAAUACAAUCUACCGUUAACAACUGACGUUGAGGGACGAAGGCUUUGGUAGNGAAAAGGAUUAGAGACCCUUGUAGUCUAAGCAGAAAAUGAUGAAUGUCAUAUGUUUUAAUAUUUAGCAUAUAAAUGAAAGUUUAAGCAUUCCACCUCAAGAGUAAUGUGGCAACACAGGAACUGAAAUCAUUAGACCGUUUCUGAAAUCAGUAGUGAAGUAUGUUGUUUAAUUCGGUAAUCCACGAAAAACCUUACCACAAUUUGAAUACAUGCGCUGCACGGCUGUCUUCAGUUGAUGUCGUGAGAUUAAAUUAACGUAAACCCUUGUUAUAUUUCUAUAAAAGGGACUAAGACAAGUCAACAUGGCC
Molecule: ribosomal RNA, 592 nt
Filed under: Vezdaea cobria
Lineage: Eukaryota; Fungi; Ascomycota; Vezdaeales; Vezdaeaceae
Description: SSU rRNA
Rfam family: Bacterial small subunit ribosomal RNA
Source: RNAcentral